Long non-coding RNA from Polypterus senegalus (gray bichir), 871 nucleotides. RefSeq lists it as uncharacterized. The transcript is spliced from 3 exons. Lineage: Eukaryota; Metazoa; Chordata; Cladistia; Polypteriformes; Polypteridae. The record is from RefSeq and is a predicted model, not a curated record.
CUCUCAGUGCAGGUCGGUGGCUGGCCUGCUCUCCAGACUUUUCACCUUUUGAGUGGCACCUCUGGAACUUGUUAAAAGGGAAGAGGGUGCAGGACCCCAGUCGCAAACCUUGGAAGUGCUGAAGAAUGCCACAACAUCACAGCUGCUCAACUGAGACCAGAAGACUGACUGAUACUACCACUGAUGUCACUUCUGGUGUCUGUCCACUUCGAUCAUCCACUUCCUGCAGGAAGGACCUAAAACAAGAUACAUGACAGAGGUCCCCACUAUCUCCGAUGCUUUUUGCAUUUUCUACUGAGCCAUUGGCUGUUCAUCUCUGGAGGAAACUGGAGAUAAAGGGGAGUAUCAGAGAAAGACUCAAACACAAAAUUUAAAUUUAUGCAGAAGAUAUGGUGCUCUAUAUAUGAGACUCAUAAUGAUCUUUACCAUUAGUCUUAAAUGUGUUAGGAGAACAUUUUAAGAUUUUGGGUUUCAAAAUUAAUCUGAGUAAAAGUGUGCUUUUCCUAGUGAAUUCUAUAGCAUAUCAUUUUAGAUUGGAUAGUUAUUCAUUCAUAAUAAUUUUUGGGGAUAACCAUAACAAGUAAAGGCAAUUUUCUUCCAUAAUACAAUUUUGGAAGUGCUAUUGAUAAAAUCAAUGAAGAUGUAAAAUUGGUCCACCAUCCAGCUCAUCCUAGCUGUGAGAAGUAACACUGUCAUAUUAAGUACAGCAUUUGACACCAUUGACCAUUCUAUUUUACUGCACAGGCUAGAAUAUGAUAUUGGGCUCACAGGCCCCGUUGCUCGCUUGGUUUAGUUCUUAUUUAUCAAAUCGAUUCCAAUAUGUACAGAAAUGUGCUGACAGUACUCCAUCAUUAUACACAGAAGUUCAAUA